GAAGGAAAGAAAGGAACCGCUGGCUGGCUGGUUAAUUCCACUCCACUCCACUCCACCUUCGCUUCGCCGUCCGGUUGGGGUAGGGACGUGCACGAGGGACGAAGCGAGGUGAGCAGUGCGAGGUCGACGGCCGGCCGGGGGGUGGUCGUGCGCUAGAGGUGAGCGAGGCAGGCCGGCCUAGGGGAAGGAGGGGAGGCGUCGCUUGUCGGUACAGAAGGAGCAGCCUGUUGGGGUUGUGCCAGUGGCUGGCGCCGGAGAAGUCGUUCUCGUCGUUCCUGCUCUUCUUCUUCGUCCUCCUCUUCUUUCUCCUCCUCCUCCCGCCGCCGCCCAAGUAGCUGUUCCAGUUCCUGAAGUAGGUGCUGUAGCCGCUCUUCUAGCUCCUCCGCCACCCCAAGCCGUUCGGCUCGCGCCUGCACCGGGCCUAGGUGCACGGGGUGUAGCCGGAGGUGGCGCGGCUGGAGCACCACCUGCACGAGUAGUUCUUGGGGUUGGGCCACGGGUAGGGCGAGCAGCUGUAGCUGAUGGAGUAGCUGUCGCUGCCGGCCUUCGACCACCGCCCGGAGUAGGGCCUGCGGCCGUGGUAGGCGCGCGUGCCCCUCCUCUGCCAGUUCCACGGGUAGUGCGAGCUGAAGCUGCUGUAGGCCUCGUGGAUGCGCCUGUAGUUCGGGCCCUCGUAGUAGGGGAUGGACGAGGCCCAGCAGAAGGACCACCUGCACGGGCACAAGCCGGCGUAGUUCUAGGGCGACCUGUUCAGGCCCCUCUAGGGCUAGGGCAUGUUCGGCCUGCACCUGCACCUGUUCUAGUUCAAGGUGGUGAAGAGCAAGCUCCUCUGGUGGCGGUGGUAGGUGGACUCGGACCUCUUGUUCUUGCUGAAGCUGGAGCCCGAGUUGGACGACGUCAUGGUCUACACCGAGCCGCUGCUGUCGCACCACCUCCGCCUCGAGUGGCUCAGGUGGUCCUAGCUCUUCGUCCCCUAGUGGUUCUACGUCUAGGGUAAGUGGAAGUCCGGGUUCCUGGACCCUAGACGGCAGACCCUGUACUAGUCCCCGUCCCCUUGACCCAUGUCGUAGUUCCCGUUCUAGCUACAGCUGUGUGGGAAACCGUUGUACUUCGACGGGUAGCUGUUCCAGCCGCCUUGGUGAGCGGAGUUCUUCCUGCUGCUGCUACUGCUCCUCACUUCACGACAAUGACUUGUAUGUUCUUUCAGUUCGUCCCUCGGUCCCUCCUAGGUCGACUUGAGAAAUGAGAUCGAAUACCAUAGAAACAACUACCGUAGUAGGCUUGUAGCAGGCGCAAAAAUACAAAGCCACGAGUCACAAGAAGCACCCUUGAGUAGGUCACACAUAAGAAAGACACAAUUGAAACAGUUCACCUUUGUCUGGACUCUUAUUUAAGAACAAACACCCCACACUACAAUCGGAAGAAGUCGGUUUUAUAACACAGGUACGGACGAGGAAAAGGCGUGGGUCAGUCGCUUCUAAUUAGAGUGUGCGUAGUCACCUAUGUUUAUGUAUAAAAAAGCUAGUGUUCCUAAUACUAGUUUGUUUGUCUUUUUUCCAGUCUCUCUAUGUAAGACACUGGAGGGAGAGAUAUGUUUGACGAAGUGAUGCUACCGGUCUAAAAAGGAAAGGUAUU
This 1635-nucleotide ribosomal RNA is filed under the name Triticum aestivum (bread wheat). RNAcentral describes it as "partial small subunit ribosomal RNA". Lineage: Eukaryota; Viridiplantae; Streptophyta; Magnoliopsida; Poales; Poaceae. The record is from RNAcentral.